AACUCAGGAGAGUCUCUUCAAAAAAAUCCGAGGAAGAGCGCCGAAGGUGUACGCAGCAGUAAAGCUGUCAUUCUCUCAGGCAAAAGGAUGGAGGAA
RNAcentral lists this non-coding RNA (96 nucleotides) under uncultured Blautia sp. Its description in RNAcentral is "Glycine riboswitch". It matches the Rfam family "Glycine riboswitch aptamer", at positions 9 to 86 of the family's 94-position model. From Rfam's summary of the family: This family represents the bacterial glycine riboswitch. Glycine riboswitches usually consist of two metabolite-binding aptamers domains with similar structures in tandem. Lineage: Bacteria; Bacillati; Bacillota; Clostridia; Lachnospirales; Lachnospiraceae. The record is from RNAcentral.